AUCCGUUCUUCCAUCUGCCUCCAUUCCAAACCCUUCUUCUCGCCAUUUCUCUGGUUUAUUUUUUGCAGAUCUGGCUACGCCGUCUUAUCUGUCGCCGGCACGGUGGCCGUAGAUCGAUAGAUCUCACGUAGAUCUACACGAUGAUGGUGGUUUCUUGCCGGCCUGGUCCACCGCGACGGAUUUUGGUUGUUCAUUCGGAUUCUGGCAGGUUCAACAUCAGAUCUGAUUCUUCUCUUCUAUUUUUAUGUUCUGAAGGCGAUUCGUGUGGUGAUUUUCUCAUCCGUGACGAUCGCGGGAUUUCAGAUCUAUCACGCGUCAGGGUUUGAUUCUUGUUCUCGGUAAUUUGUUUGAUUAUUAUUGUGCAACGAAAGGCGUUUCGAUCUCUUCGAGCAGGUAUGGAGUUUGAGACAGCGUUGGAUCUCCGUGGAGGCAGAAGCGUAUGGCGUCUCCAUCGAGGAAGCUAUUUCAUGAAACGAUGAGGUGGUUGAUUGCUGCAGAUGGAGAUAAUCCUGGUAGAUCCGUUCGUCGGUAUGCUACAGGAGGCCUGAUUGCUGUUAUUCAAUGGAAGCUGUAACUUGUAUCAUAAUAUUGAAAGCAUCGGGAAGGGUAGAUGAGUGAUUGUGGAUGUAUAAGAUAUCGGGAUUCAGCCUUCUUUUCGAGGAGGAACAAUCCUGGUACCUCUUUGUCAUCCGGCCUUUGCCAUGACAGGUGCGCUUGCAUGGCAGGUCAUUCAUAAUAAAAAAAAUAGUAUGUUUUGGUUUUGGGAGGAGAUCGCACGGGGAUUGCCCGGGGUCUCCUCUCGCUGGUGUGUUUUUCUCUUGCUUUCUAUUUCUCUCCGUUCGUUUCUGCUACCGCAACCGCCAGAAUCGCUUCUCAUAUCAUAGCUAUUGACAUGAUCAUAUCCGCGACAUGCAAAGUUUUUGCAAUAUAAGGAGUCAUCAAAUGCGACAGUGUUUGCGAAGGUAUAGUUGGUAUUCAUAUGGUAAUAAUUUAUAUUCGUAUUUAAGUUUAUUCGUAUUUAUAUUCUUUCAUUGAGCUUUAAUUCUUUCUCAAUGAAAACAUGGUUCGACAUAAAAAUUACUCGUAUACAAACUAUACAAUUACGCCUGAUCAAUAAUUAAGAUGCUGCGCUGUGUACUUGCACAUUAAGAAGAAACAUCAGGGUGUUCUAUCCCCCCAUCCCCAAUAGGCUCAAGUAAAUUUCAAAGAUCUGUACAAUUUCCUUGUUUUUUUUAUUAUUUUGCUGAAAAUAUGUUACAACGAAGUCAGUUCUUUGAUAGACGCGACCCUCCCCUCCCCUUCCAGGAAUUGCAAUGAGUUACAUUUUGUAUUCUGAUAUAUAUUUCAAAUUAUCUAGUAAUGUUACAUUUUUAGAAUUAUGUAUUCUGCAAGCUUUCCUAGAGUCGGUGCCUGUAUUUUUAGUUUUGUGGGACUGGUUUGUAUUUUCGGCUGUUACAUUGUUAGAUCUGAAGAAGUUGAUGUAAGUGGAUCUAGAAGGCGUGCUUGAGAAGAAGCCUCGCUCUAUUGCCAUGGAAGGAAUAGGACGACAUUAUAUAUCUGAAGAGUUGUAAGAUGUGUUGGCAGCCCGUACAAGCAGCAGCUCGUCGCUCUCCUGUAGCCUAUCCUGUUUCCCGCUGGUAUUUAUUGGAUUUAUCCUAUUUUCAACUCUACUAUGCAAUUUUUUUCCAAUUGGAGAAGUGGAUUCUAUUAUGUUUUUGUUUUCCUUUUGUUAGUAUGCUCGAUUAUGAAGUUAGUAGAUUGUUUUUCUAGCUUGCCGAUUGGAUAAAAUUUAUGUGUAGACCACACUAUUCUGUGGUAUGAGUCUUUUUAAAAUUUUAAUUUAGUUCUGAGGUGGUGGUGGUUUCUAACAUUUAAAUAUAUUUUAGUACUUUUGAUA
Non-coding RNA from Momordica charantia (bitter melon), 1897 nucleotides. The record is from RefSeq and is a predicted model, not a curated record. Lineage: Eukaryota; Viridiplantae; Streptophyta; Magnoliopsida; Cucurbitales; Cucurbitaceae.